CCGCGGAGAGUGACCGGCGAGGCGACGCCUACUGCUGUGAUCCGCGCCUCCUUUCGCUUCCCUCCGGUUCGUGAGUCACGGGCAGGUCAGGAGGAGCGAUCCGGGAGGAAGGCAGCGAGCGAGGGAGGGACGGGCAGCCCCUUGGCCGCUGGGAGCCGCCACCACCGCGGCGGAGAGAGGCCCCGCCAGCCCGCCUCCCGCCCCUUGCCGCCAAGGCGCCUCCUCCCUCCAGGUGGCUCCCUCCUUCUUUCCCUCCCUCUUCGUCGGGCGCGGAAAGCGAGGGCUCCGCGGCGGGAGCUGAAGCCAAGGCAUCCCAAUGCGUGGCGACUGAACCGAGACGCCUCGCCCGCCGCCGCCGCCGCCGCCUUCAACAAUCAAGUGUCUGAAAAAUGAAAUCCCCAUGGAGGAAUAUUUCUGUUUGCAAGUUAGAUGUCCCCACUACAAAUACCUCUGCCAGAGGCUUUGUGUUUUGUUCUUUUUUAAGGUAUGUCUGCAAUAGAUCUGAGUAGAAAAUACUCAUUUUCUGUCCACUGGGACAUAUUUCCAAGGUUGUAGCCAUAUGUACUUGGCAGUGCUAGUAUAUGAAACUGGUCCCACCCGAUACAAAUCUUAUCUGAAUGGAAUGAAAGCAUCUCCACCUUUUAGAAACACGUGGCUGUUCCAAAUAAUAUGUUAAAAGAUAAGAGUGGGCUUUUAACAGAUUUAUUAUGAUGCGUAGGAGAUGGGGAUGAAUAACAAACAUGAUCGACCUUAGAUAAACUCUGGCCAAGAGGAAAUAUGGUAGCCUCAAUUAUUUGUAGUUGAGAUAGCAUCUUGCCAAGAAUGAAGUGGGUUGUCAGGCAGGCUGAAUGGCCACAGGCCAUUUAAAAGCCAUUGGUAAUUGAUAAUGUCAACACCUAGGAGGCAGAACAGAGCUGCCUUGUACCCAAAAACAUUGUUCUAAAAGAAGUAGUUCUCAAAAAGCCUAUUCAGAGGGCUUUGCUUCAUUUUCUUAGGGUAUGACUGCAAACUUAAUGGGACGUUCAAUCAAUAUGUAGGAAACUACCAACUUAAAUAGAAUUUCUCUAAAAUUAUAUUUACUGUGCCAUUCAUUUUAUAUACUAGUGAACCACUUUUUAAUUUAGUUGUAGAGAAGUGAGUUACUAAUGUAUAGAGAAAUGUAAAAGCCUGUUAUGGUAAAUUUUAUUUACAUCUGUAUUUCAGGGAAAUGGCUGUGAGAGAAAGGCCUAUCAAGUUUCCCAUUUUGAUGAAAUUAUAAAUUUUAUUUUGUUGAGAUUCAACUCUCAGAAUCCCAUAGCUAAUAUGGCCAGUGGACAGCUUUCAUAGAAAGUAAAUUCCAAGCUCUGUCAUUUCCCUUCUUUUGUACUUUCAAGUGCCUUGAAAAAGCGAGAAUGAGGGGAAGGGGAAAAGUCUUAAUGCUCUGAUUUUGUAAAGCUAAAC
RNAcentral lists this long non-coding RNA (1440 nucleotides) under Anolis carolinensis (green anole). RNAcentral describes it as "lncRNA (ENSACAG00000044533.1)". Lineage: Eukaryota; Metazoa; Chordata; Lepidosauria; Squamata; Anolidae. The record is from RNAcentral.